This 345-nucleotide ribosomal RNA is filed under the name uncultured Verrucomicrobiota bacterium. RNAcentral's name for it is "bacterial SSU rRNA". It matches the Rfam family "Bacterial small subunit ribosomal RNA", at positions 29 to 351 of the family's 1533-position model. The record is from RNAcentral. Lineage: Bacteria; Pseudomonadati; Verrucomicrobiota.
AACGAACGCUGGCGGCGUGGAUAAGACAUGCAAGUCGAACGAUCACCAUCGAGUAGCAAUAUUUGGUGGUGGGAGUGGCGCAAGGGUGCGUAACACGUGGGUAAUUUGCCGUAAAGUCUGGGAUAACUUGCUGAAAGGCGAGCUAAUACCGGAUGUGAUUGCUGGAGGGCAUCCUCUAGCACUUAAAGUUGGGGACCGUAAGGCCUGACACUUUUUCGAUAAGCCCGCGGCCUAUCAGCUAGUUGGUGAGGUAACGGCUCACCAAGGCUUAGACGGGUAGCUGGUCUGAGAGGACGACCAGCCACACUGGAACUGAGACACGGUCCAGACACCUACGGGUGGCAG